CUUCAGAGAGCCGACAAACGAUUGUUGUUGUUUCUUGAAGUACAUCGAGAUACACUAGUAAGUAAACGUAAAAGUUUAAUCAUACAGCUUUUGAUGCAUAUAUUCGAAAUUGUACUUGACAUGCAUGUGACAUUUUGUUUUUUGUAUUGCAUUUAAAGAUCUAGUAAUUCAAUCUAUUCUAACGUUUUUAAACAAGGCAAUAAAAAUGACCGGAUAUGGGGAAAUGGCACGAAUACAGAACCAGAUCUCCGAAAUAAUGGUGGGUUUUUUGUUUUUACUAUAGAGGAACUCAUUAUGAAAUUGCCGUCGGUUUUGCGAUACGAGAAGUUAUGUAUGCAAUUUAAUUCGUGUAUAUAUAAUAGCACAUUAUUGUUUUUACAGGCUAAAUAUGAAAUUGUUCGUAGUUGCUCUAUUGGUUCUUAUGGUUUAUGUGAGUUCUCUUCCACAAAAGAAAUUUCUUCUUGAUGGUAAGCUUACGUCUAUAAUCAAGUUAAAUUGGAAACUUACUUUUUUCUGAAUCAAAAAUGUUUGUUAAGAAAAUAACUAUUAUCAAGCCCCCUUCAAAGAUAAUUGGUCAUUCAUUAGAACCAAACAAAUCCUAGGGCACAUCACAAUGUCGAAGUAUAUAAAUUUUAAUUACUACAUAAAACAAAAGACAGGUAAACACAAAUGACCAAUUUGAAAAUACUCCUGAUGAGGACAGGGCCAUUCAACAUGUGGUUGACAUAAACUAGAUUCAUAAAAUCAUAACCCUUCCAUAUAUAAGACAUAUAGACACAAACAAAAAUCAUUCAUAUUUUUCUCCAAUCCACUAGGCAAAACUCAACAAGUCCAGCAUGCAUUUUAGAAUAAUGUUAACCAUUGAUGCACAUUCUUCUGUCAUCAAAAAGAUGGGUCUAAUGAUUUUGUUAAACAAUUGUUGUAUUGGUUUUUUUCUUAUAUAUUUAUUUAUGCGUUUACUUACGGAAGGACAAAUUUAAAGGUUGUGUUCGAUUUCUGUGCAAAAAAGUGAAAUCACAAAAAUACUGAACUCCGAGGAAAAUUCACAACGAAAAGUCAAAUGGCAAAUCAAAAGCUCAAACACAUCAAUCGAAUGUUACAAUUGAAUGAAAGCAUUGAAUGAAUAAGAACAAAGGAGUAGGUCCGGUAAGGAUCAAUUUUGGCCUCAAAUUUCAAGUUCAUCUGACGAAUGAAUUUGACCGCUUUUUAAACACUUAAGUGUCUAUUUCAUUUGAAUCAAUUAGUUUAUGUGAAAUAUUUCAACUGAUUUAGUCAUUGAAAACGAUCCGAUUCAAGCUCAAAUAUGAAAAAUCUACCAAAUAUGUCGAAAAAUGUCACUUUUUAGAUAGUUUUUGUCAAAAAUGAAUGUGGCCGCAAUCCUGUUCAUCCAAAAUCUUUAUAUAUGUUAUGUAUUAUCAAAAUACAACUACAUUUCAAUAUUAAGGAUGAACACGAAUGGCCACUUUCGUUUACGAAAACCGUCUAAAUUUAGCUAAAAUGGUAGAAUAGUGAAAGAUUUCAGUAAUUUAGCGGACUUAAUUGCUAGUACUCGAUAUAUGUGCAUUGUAUUGCCAAAAAACAACAAUAUUUAUGUAACAAAGCAUUCUACUGUCAAUAUUAUUUAAAAGUUUACAUUUUAACAAUUUUGUAAAACUGAUACAUUUUGGAGCCAAAAAGGGGUCUUACCGGACCUACUCCUUUCACAUUUUAGUAAAUAUUAAAUACUCAAAUAUAAAGAUAAAGAACAAUACAAUGAUGCAUGAUAUUGUCAGCCCUUAAUUAUUCCUUAUUAUUUGCAGACAUAUAUCUACUUCCUGGUGACUGCGAGCAUAGUGACGCAUGUAGCCAUUGUGGAAAUAGCCACAUUCAUCGCAUUCAACAUGGAGGACUUGUUAUAGAAAUCUGUUGUCGCACAUGUGGAAAGCCCAAUGCCACAGUGCAUAUUGGCUUUCCACAUUCUGCCCUUGAAUGUCAAUGCCUGUAGAGCAUCAUACACGAUAUAUCUCUUUUUUUCUCAAUAAAACUAAUAAUGAAAAUAUAGUACAUGUAGCACCAUGUAUAACGUCUGCCUAACUAGGUAUAUACAAAAACAUAGGUCUUUUUGGAAUCAUGUCUUUCAUCGG
RNAcentral lists this long non-coding RNA (2123 nucleotides) under Mytilus galloprovincialis (Mediterranean mussel). Lineage: Eukaryota; Metazoa; Mollusca; Bivalvia; Mytilida; Mytilidae. The record is from RNAcentral.